GAUGAAGAACGUAGUGAAAUGCGAUAAGUAAUGUGAAUUGCAGAAUUCAGUGAAUCAUCGAAUCUUUGAACGCACAUUGCGCCCCUUGGUAUUCCGAGGGGCAUGCCUAUUCGAGCGUCAUUAUCACCCCUCAAGCCUAGCUUGGUGUUGGGGCUUGCUGUAAAGGCAGCCUCUAAAAUCAGUGGCAGUGCUGUCAGGCUCUAAGCGUAGUAAAUUCAUCGCUAUAGGGUCCUGGUGGAUACUCGUCAAAACCCCCCAGUUUUAAUGAUUGACCUCGGAUUAGGUAGGGAUACCCGCUGAACUUAAGCAUAUCAAUAAGCGGAGGA
RNAcentral lists this unclassified non-coding RNA (326 nucleotides) under soil metagenome. RNAcentral describes it as "partial contains 5.8S ribosomal RNA, internal transcribed spacer 2, and large subunit ribosomal RNA". The stretch from base 1 to 120 matches the Rfam family "5.8S ribosomal RNA", at positions 35 to 154 of the family's 154-position model. The record is from RNAcentral.